Molecule: transfer RNA, 72 nt
Filed under: Flavobacterium sp.
Lineage: Bacteria; Pseudomonadati; Bacteroidota; Flavobacteriia; Flavobacteriales; Flavobacteriaceae
Description: tRNA-Arg
Rfam family: tRNA
About the family: Transfer RNA (tRNA) molecules are approximately 80 nucleotides in length. Their secondary structure includes four short double-helical elements and three loops (D, anti-codon, and T loops). Further hydrogen bonds mediate the characteristic L-shaped molecular structure. tRNAs have two regions of fundamental functional importance: the anti-codon, which is responsible for specific mRNA codon recognition, and the 3' end, to which the tRNAs corresponding amino acid is attached (by aminoacyl-tRNA synthetases). tRNAs cope with the degeneracy of the genetic code in two manners: having more than one tRNA (with a specific anti-codon) for a particular amino acid; and 'wobble' base-pairing, i.e. permitting non-standard base-pairing at the 3rd anti-codon position.
Source: RNAcentral
GGUCCCAUAGUUUAACGGAUAGAACAGGUUUUUCCUAAAAAUCAGAUAGAGGUUCGAUUCCUCUUGGGACCG